RNAcentral lists this ribosomal RNA (440 nucleotides) under uncultured bacterium. Its description in RNAcentral is "partial 16S ribosomal RNA". It matches the Rfam family "Bacterial small subunit ribosomal RNA", at positions 338 to 795 of the family's 1533-position model. The record is from RNAcentral.
CCUACGGGAGGCAGCAGUGGGGAAUAUUGCACAAUGGGGGAAACCCUGAUGCAGCAACGCCGCGUGAGUGAAGAAGUAUUUCGGUAUGUAAAGCCCUAUCAGCAGGGAAGAAGAUGACGGUACGUGAGUAAGCAGCCCCGGCUAACUCCGUGCCAGCAGCCGCGGUCAUACGUAGGGCGCAAGCGUUAUCCGGAUUUACUGGGUGUAAAGGGAGCGUAGACGGGGAGACAAGGCUGAAGUGAAAGCCCGGGGCUCAACCCCGGGACUGCUUUGGAAACUGCCGGACUGGAGUGCGGGAGAGGCAAGCGGAAUUCCUAGUGUAGCGGUGAAAUGCGUAGAUAUUAGGAAGAACACCAGUGGCGAAGGCAGCUUGCUGGACAGUAACUGACGUUGAGGCUCGAAAGCGUGGGGAGCGAACAGGAUUAGAUACCCGUGUAGUC